RNAcentral lists this ribosomal RNA (468 nucleotides) under uncultured bacterium. RNAcentral's name for it is "partial 16S ribosomal RNA". It matches the Rfam family "Bacterial small subunit ribosomal RNA", at positions 28 to 507 of the family's 1533-position model. The record is from RNAcentral.
GACGAACGCUGGCGGCGUGCUUAACACAUGCAAGUCGAACGGAAAGGCCCUGCUUUUGUGGGGUGCUCGAGUGGCGAACGGGUGAGUAACACGUGAGUAACCUGCCCUUGACUUUGGGAUAACUUCAGGAAACUGGGGCUAAUACCGGAUAGGAGCUCCUGCUGCAUGGUGGGGGUUGGAAAGUUUCGGCGGUUGGGGAUGGACUCGCGGCUUAUCAGCUUGUUGGUGGGGUAGUGGCUUACCAAGGCUUUGACGGGUAGCCGGCCUGAGAGGGUGACCGGCCACAUUGGGACUGAGAUACGGACCAGACGCCUACGGGAGGCAGCAGGGGGGAAUAUUGCACAAUGGGCGGAAGCCUGAUGCAGCAACGCCGCGUGCGGGAUGACGGUCUUCGGGUUGUAAACCGCUUUCGCCUGUGACGAAGCGUGAGUGACGGUAAUGGGUAAAGAAGCACCGGCUAACUACGUG